Molecule: ribosomal RNA, 71 nt
Filed under: Actinomadura pelletieri DSM 43383
Lineage: Bacteria; Bacillati; Actinomycetota; Actinomycetes; Streptosporangiales; Thermomonosporaceae
Source: RNAcentral
CGGAAGUUAAGCUCUUCAGCGCCGAUGGUACUGCAUGGGAGACUGUGUGGGAGAGUAGGACACCGCCGGAC